Molecule: ribosomal RNA, 967 nt
Filed under: bacterium enrichment culture clone 3_6
Lineage: Bacteria
Description: bacterial SSU rRNA
Rfam family: Bacterial small subunit ribosomal RNA
Source: RNAcentral
CCUGGCUCAGGAUAAACGUUGGCGGUGCGCCUAAUGCAUGCAAGUCGCACGGAGCUUCGGCUCAGUGGCGGACGGGUGAGUAACACGUAGGAACCUGCCCGGAAGUGGGGGAUAACUCCUCGAAAGAGGAGCUAAUACCGCAUGUGGUCUACGGACCAAAGCAGCAAUGCGCUUCUGGAGGGGCCUGCGGUGGAUUAGCUAGUUGGUGGGGUAAUGGCCUACCAAGGCGACGAUCCAUAGCUGGUCUGAGAGGACGGCCAGCCACACUGGGACUGAGACACGGCCCAGACUCCUACGGGAGGCAGCAGCAAGGAAUUUUCCGCAAUCGACGCAAGUCGGACGGAGCAACACCGCGUGGAGGAAGACGGCCCUAGGGUUGUAAACUUCUUUUGUGAGGGAAGAAGAUCUGACGGUACCUCACGAAUAAGUCACGGCUAACUACGUGCCAGCAGCCGCGGUAAUACGUAGGUGGCGAACGUUGUCCGGAUUCACUGGGCGUAAAGCGCGCGCAGGCGGAUCGGUAAGUCUGAGGUGAAAGCUCCCGGCUCAACUGGGAGAAGCCCUUGGAUACUGCCGAUCUUGAGACACUUAGAGGAGAGUGGAAUUCCCGGUGUAGUGGUGGAAUGCGUAGAUAUCGGGAGGAACACCAGUGGCGAAAGCGGCUCUCUGGGAGUGUUCUGACGCUGAGGCGCGAAAGCGUGGGGAGCAAACCGGAUUAGAUACCCGGGUAGUCCACGCCGUAAACGAUGAGUACUAGCUGUCUGGGGUAUCGACUCCCUGGGUAGCGCAGCUAACGCGAUAAGUACUCCGCCUGGGGACUACGACCGCAAGGUUAAAACUCAAGGAAUUGACGGGGCCCGCACAAGCAGCGGAGCGUGCGGUUUAAUUCGAUGAUACGCGAAGAACCUUACCAGGGCUUGACAUGGCACUGACCGCCGAUGAAAGUCGGUUUCCCUUCGGGGCAGUG